GUGAAGCGACAAAAGCUCAAAUUUGAAAUCUGGCACCUUCGGUGUCCGAGUUGUAAUUUGAAGAAGGUAACUUUGGAGUUGGCUCUUGUCUAUGUUCCUUGGAACAGGACGUCACAGAGGGUGAGAAUCCCGUGCGAUGAGAUGUCCAACUCUAUGUAAAGUGCUUUCGAAGAGUCGAGUUGUUUGGGAAUGCAGCUCUAAGUGGGUGGUAAAUUCCAUCUAAAGCUAAAUAUUGGCGAGAGACCGAUAGCGAACAAGUACAGUGAUGGAAAGAUGAAAAGAACUUUGAAAAGAGAGUGAAAAAGUACGUGAAAUUGUUGAAAGGGAAGGGUUUGAGAUCAGACUUGGUAUUUUGUAUGUCUUGCUUUCGGGUGGGGCCUCUGCAGUUUACUGGGCCAGCAUCGGUUUGGACGGUAGGAUAAUGACAUUGGAAUGUGGCACUACUUCGGUG
RNAcentral lists this ribosomal RNA (451 nucleotides) under Scheffersomyces shehatae. RNAcentral describes it as "eukaryotic LSU rRNA". It matches the Rfam family "Eukaryotic large subunit ribosomal RNA", at positions 93 to 551 of the family's 3401-position model. Lineage: Eukaryota; Fungi; Ascomycota; Pichiomycetes; Serinales; Debaryomycetaceae. The record is from RNAcentral.